ACUGGGCAGGGUGACAUGUUUGUGAUCCUUACUACUAGGGGAGGCUGAGGCUGGUGAAUCACUUGAACUCAGGAGCUCUGAGCUACAGGAGGGCUAAAGCUGAUCAGAGGUAUGCACUAAGUCGGGCAUCAUAUAUGCUGAGCCCCUGGGUACGGGGGCCACCAGGCUGCCUAAGGAGAGGCAAACCAGCCCAGGUUAGAGAUGAAUCAGGUCGAGGUCUUCAUGCUGCUUAGUAGUGGGAUCAGAUCCAUGAAUAACUAUUAUACUUCCAGUCUGGGUGAGAUGGGGAGACUCAGCCUCU
This 301-nucleotide signal recognition particle RNA is filed under the name Phascolarctos cinereus (koala). RNAcentral's name for it is "Metazoan signal recognition particle RNA (ENSPCIG00000029053.2)". It matches the Rfam family "Metazoan signal recognition particle RNA". Rfam says of the family: The signal recognition particle (SRP) is a universally conserved ribonucleoprotein. It is involved in the co-translational targeting of proteins to membranes. Lineage: Eukaryota; Metazoa; Chordata; Mammalia; Diprotodontia; Phascolarctidae. The record is from RNAcentral.